RNAcentral lists this ribosomal RNA (254 nucleotides) under uncultured bacterium. Its description in RNAcentral is "partial 16S ribosomal RNA". It matches the Rfam family "Bacterial small subunit ribosomal RNA", at positions 524 to 776 of the family's 1533-position model. The record is from RNAcentral.
UACGUAGGGUGCGAGCGUUAAUCGGAAUUACUGGGCGUAAAGCGUGCGCAGGCGGUCUGUUAAGACCGAUGUGAAAUCCCCGGGCUUAACCUGGGAACUGCAUUGGUGACUGGCAGGCUUUGAGUGUGGCAGAGGGGGGUAGAAUUCCACGUGUAGCAGUGAAAUGCGUAGAGAUGUGGAGGAAUACCGAUGGCGAAGGCAGCCCCCUGGGCCAACACUGACGCUCAGGCACGAAAGCGUGGGGAGCAAACAGG